RNAcentral lists this ribosomal RNA (292 nucleotides) under uncultured bacterium. RNAcentral describes it as "partial 16S ribosomal RNA". It matches the Rfam family "Bacterial small subunit ribosomal RNA", at positions 505 to 796 of the family's 1533-position model. The record is from RNAcentral.
GUGCCAGCCGCCGCGGUAAUACGUAGGGUGCGAGCGUUAAUCGGAAUUACUGGGCGUAAAGGGUGCGCAGGCGGCGCCAUAAGACAGAUGUGAAAUCCCCGGGCUUAACCUGGGAACUGCGUUUGUGACUGUGGUGCUUGAGUGCGGCAGAGGGGGGUGGAAUUCCACGUGUAGCAGUGAAAUGCGUAGAGAUGUGGAGGAACACCGAUGGCGAAGGCAGCCCCCUGGGUCGACACUGACGCUCAUGCACGAAAGCGUGGGGAGCAAACAGGAUUAGAAACCCUGGUAGUCC